This 216-nucleotide ribosomal RNA is filed under the name uncultured bacterium. Its description in RNAcentral is "partial 16S ribosomal RNA". It matches the Rfam family "Bacterial small subunit ribosomal RNA", at positions 1277 to 1500 of the family's 1533-position model. The record is from RNAcentral.
GAAAGCCUGUCUCAGUUCGGAUUGGAGUCUGCAACCCGACUCCAUGAAGCUGGAUUCGCUAGUAAUCGCGCAUCAGCCACGGCGCGGUGAAUACGUUCCCGGGCCUUGUACACACCGCCCGUCAAGCCAUGGAAGCCGGGGGUGCCUGAAGUGUGCUGCCGCGAGGAGCGCCCUAGGGUAAAACCGGUGACUGGGGCUAAGUCGUAACAAGGUAUC